Molecule: signal recognition particle RNA, 226 nt
Filed under: Megasphaera massiliensis
Lineage: Bacteria; Bacillati; Bacillota; Negativicutes; Veillonellales; Veillonellaceae
Also listed under: 3 other names
Description: signal recognition particle sRNA large type
Rfam family: Bacterial large signal recognition particle RNA
About the family: The signal recognition particle (SRP) is a universally conserved ribonucleoprotein involved in the co-translational targeting of proteins to membranes. Archaeal SRP consists of a 7S RNA and homologues of the eukaryotic SRP19 and SRP54 proteins.
Source: RNAcentral
UUGAUUUUUUUAGAAAUUUUCUUGCCAAAAUCGAUUUUUCACGAUAUAAUAAUGUAGCUAACUUAAUAAGAGUACUGGUGCGUGGUAAUCCGUUGGGGCUUGUGCAAUGGGAACCUAUGAACCUUGUCAGGUCCGAGAGGAAGCAGCAAUAAGUAGAUCUUUCCAUGUGCCACGAGGAAACCUGGCGGGUUACCAUACACGAGUACUUUUCAGUUGGUAAAAGCAG